AGCUUUAUAGUCAUAUUUUAUGAUAUUAGACUGCAAUUCUAAAGGAGUAGAGAUCUACUAAGGCUU
This 66-nucleotide transfer RNA is filed under the name Capnia yunnana. RNAcentral's name for it is "tRNA-Cys". The record is from RNAcentral. Lineage: Eukaryota; Metazoa; Arthropoda; Insecta; Plecoptera; Capniidae.